RNAcentral lists this ribosomal RNA (468 nucleotides) under uncultured bacterium. Its description in RNAcentral is "partial 16S ribosomal RNA". It matches the Rfam family "Bacterial small subunit ribosomal RNA", at positions 28 to 507 of the family's 1533-position model. The record is from RNAcentral.
GACGAACGCUGGCGGCGUGCUUAACACAUGCAAGUCGAACGGAAAGGCCCUGCUUUUGUGGGGCGCUCGAGUGGCGAACGCGUGAGUAACACGCGAGUAACCUGCCCUUGACUUUGGGAUAACUUCAGGAAACUGGGGCUAAUACCGGAUAGGAGCUCCUGAUGCACGGUGGGGGUUGGUAAGUUUCGGCGGUUGGGGAUGGACUCGCGGCUUAUCCGCUUGUUGGUGGGGUAGUGGCUUACCAAGGCUUUGACGGGUAGCCGGCCUGAGAGGGUGACCGGCCACAUUGGGACUGAGAUACGGCCCAGACUCCUACGGGAGGCAGCAGUGGGGAAUAUUGCACAGUGGGCGGAAGCCUGAUGCAGCAACGCCGCGUGCGGGAUGACGUCCUUCGGGUUGUAAACCGCUUUCGCCUGUGACGAAGCGUGAGUGACGGUAAUGGGUAAAGAAGCACCGGCUAACUACGUG